Molecule: ribosomal RNA, 200 nt
Filed under: uncultured bacterium
Lineage: Bacteria
Description: partial 16S ribosomal RNA
Rfam family: Bacterial small subunit ribosomal RNA
Source: RNAcentral
AGAGUUUGAUCCUGGCUCAGGACGAACGCUGGCGGCGUGCCUAAUACAUGCAAGUCGAGCGGAGUUGAUGGAGUGCUUGCACUCCUGAGACUUAGCGGCGGACGGGUGAGUAACACGUAGGUAACCUGCCCAUAAGACUGGGAUAACCCACGGAAACGUGAGCUAAUACCAGAUAGGCAUUUCCCUCGCAUGGGGGAGAU